GUGAAAAACAGUUUGAAGUUUUAAGAUUAAUUUUUUUGGAUAACAUAUGGAUUUGAUAAUGCGAGUUUAAACUAAUCAAGUUUUAUCCAGGUUUGGUGUUCUUGACAGAACAUCUUGUUGAGAACAUAAAAAAACUCAAAAAAUAUUGCCGACAUUUUUCUCGGCACUGCGCGAUAACUAGAACUCCAGUGAAUAAAUUUCUCUAAUCCUGGCCUAAAUGAAUUAAAAGAAAACAAACAUUACGACUCCACGUGUGAAAAACACAGGGCUGCUCUUGCAUAUAUUAUAGUUCCGCUCAUACAUUGGUUUUCCUUCAGACAACAGUAUGAAACACGCACAGAAUAAGACAGCAGCAAGACACAUUCCUGCCUUUUCUGGAGUCUCGGAGCAAAUAUACGAGUUUCCUGAAGAAUACGGUCUUACUCAAUGUGGAAACUCACUCAGAGUUGCUCAAAUUGAAGAAGUCAGGAUGCAAUCAGGUCUUGAUGUCGUGAAAGAUAUUUACUGACCAUUGAAGAAAGAACAUCACUAGCUACAAGCGUAUUUAAAAGAUCCUCUUGAUCUUGAAGCGAAGGAAUUUAGCGAAGCUUACAAAUACAUUAUAGAAAAACUACGGUGCUGAAAUGUUUGUAUGUGUGUUGUUAUAUGUACAAUACAUUAACCGACACGUUAUGUAGACCAUUCUUUUGUACAGACCCUUAAUCCAAACCACGCCACUCUUGAAAUAGCAUCUGAGUAAGGUUAUGCUAAUGACAAUAAAGCAACAAGAUGUCUAACACUACAUGUCUUUAUGACAAUAUAGAAACCAGGUUUUCAAAUUUUUAUCCAAAGUGGAGUAAAUUAAAAUAGAAAAGCAAAGUAAAAGUAAAUUAAAUUGAAAGUAUGUAUAAAGUAAAAGUGAAU
Molecule: long non-coding RNA, 903 nt
Organism: Hydractinia symbiolongicarpus
Lineage: Eukaryota; Metazoa; Cnidaria; Hydrozoa; Anthoathecata; Hydractiniidae
Exons: 3
Source: RefSeq, a predicted model, not a curated record